This is a long non-coding RNA of Mobula hypostoma (lesser devil ray), 211 nucleotides long. RefSeq lists it as uncharacterized. Lineage: Eukaryota; Metazoa; Chordata; Chondrichthyes; Myliobatiformes; Myliobatidae. The record is from RefSeq and is a predicted model, not a curated record. The transcript has 3 exons.
AAUAGAUCCAGCAAAGCAAGCAAAAUAUUUCCAAAAGCCGUAUUUGUCACAAGAAGAAAGGGACAGGUAUAAUAAACUGCUCGAUUCGCAGUCUCUGGUUUUUGACUUUACUAAUUACCAAACGCCGGAGCAAGUGAAGGCACUAUGGGAUGAAAUUAACCGAGAGGAAGAAGAGCAAAGGAGACUUUUGGAUGAAAUACUUAAAACCAAG